GGCAGUUCUUGGGUGAUGCACCCCAGAAUCUGGCUCCCUCCCCUCUGGUUCCCAGUGCACCACCUGAGAACCGCA
MicroRNA precursor from Myotis lucifugus (little brown bat), 75 nucleotides. It matches the Rfam family "mir-9223 microRNA precursor family". The record is from Rfam. Lineage: Eukaryota; Metazoa; Chordata; Mammalia; Chiroptera; Vespertilionidae.